RNA transcript from Phyllopteryx taeniolatus (common seadragon), 19061 nucleotides. It is a transcript of the gene named bassoon presynaptic cytomatrix protein a, with no coding region annotated. The transcript is spliced from 16 exons. The record is from RefSeq and is a predicted model, not a curated record. Lineage: Eukaryota; Metazoa; Chordata; Actinopteri; Syngnathiformes; Syngnathidae.
GGGAGGAGGAGGAGGAAGAGGAUGAAGACGAUGGCGGUGAUACAGGUGCAACGCUGAGUUCGCCGUCCCUCUUCUCUCUUCCCCCUUUUUUUCCCCCCAUUCCAGUUUGGACCACAUGUAUUUCAAUUAAAAGGGCAUCUUAGCGACAUAGAAGCAGAGGUAGUUCGGACCGAUCGGACGCGGUACCGCUCUUCACCGCCCUCCUGUCUCCGGAGCCGAGAGCGAGAUGGGGAACGAGGCGAGCAUGGAGGGCGGGGGGCAGCCCGGAGAGGCCGGGAUGAUGGGCUCCGUGAUGCCCGGAGGAGCCGCGACCGCAGGGCCGGGAGGACAGUACGUGAAGCCCGUCAACGGCUCGGCUGCCGGCGGAGGGAUGGGAGUCGGAGGCCCCGGGAUGGGGAUGACGAGGGGACCAAUGGGUCAGAUGGGUAGCCCCAAGCCUGACAUGCAACAAAGAGUUCAUGGGGGAGGAGGGAUGGGAGGAAUGGGUGGCAUGGGAAGUGGGAUGGGUGGAGGAAUGGGAGGCGGAAUGGGCAGUGGAAUGGCAGGUGGAAUGGGAGGCGGAAUGGGAGGAGGAAUGGCCACUGGAGGUGGAAUAGGCUCUAGAAGCGGUGAGCCCUAUCGCCUGGCCACCCAUGACACUCCAACCUCCCCCCGUCACAUUCAGUCAAGCCAGGGGUCCGGCACCGGCCAGGGCUCCGGCCACGGAAUGAGUCACAGUCCAGCUGGUACCGGAAUGGGAGCCCAUGCAGGACAGAGUCCUGGCCAGCACGCCUCCCGUCGAAACCUCCAAGUUGACUUCAACAGUCCAGGUGGCUCCAGGACAGGUCGAUCUCCGUCGGUGUCGCCGGACCGCGGCAUGACGCCCACCUCACCCUAUUCGGUGCCACAGAUCGCGCCCAUGCCAAAGAGCAAACUGUGUCCAGUGUGCACCACCACAGAGCUCUCCAACCCACCAGCUGUGCCCAACUACAACACCUGCACCCAGUGUAAGGCCACUGUGUGUAACCAGUGUGGAUUCAAUCCCAACCCACACCUCACUGAGGUCCAGGAAUGGCUGUGUCUCAACUGUCAGAUGCAGCGGGCUCUUGGCAUUGAUAUGACCACACCUCGUUCUAAGAGUCAACAACAGAUCCACUCGCCGUCCCACCAAGCGAAAUCUCUCGUCCAGCCUCAGCAGGCUGCACCUCAGCCAACACAGCCGGCGACUGCAGCACAGCCCAAACCUUUGGCACAGAGCCAGCCCACCCAGCAACAGCAGCAGCAACAACCGCAGACUCAACUCUAUGGCCAAACUCAGUCCUACUCCCAGUCACAGCCAUAUUCCCAGUCCCAAACAUACCCCCAGUCCCAGCCUUAUUCUGAGUCCCAGACAUACCCGCUGUCCCAGCACUAUCCACAAUCCCAGCAGUAUCCCCAGGUGCAGGAGCAUCCCCAGUCCCAACAGUAUCCCCAGUCCCAGCAUUACCCCCAGUCUCAGCAGUACCCCCAGUCCCAGCAGCACCCACAGUCCCAGCAGUAUCUCCAAUCCCAGCAGUAUCCCCAGUCUCAACAGUACCCUCAUUCCCAGCAGCAUCCACAGUCUCAGCAAUAUCCCCAGUCUCAACAGUAUCCCCAGGCCCAGCAGCAGCCUUACCCACAGUCCCAAGCCGGAUCCCAGGCUCAGCAGCAGCCUUACCCACAGUCCCAGUUCGGACCCCAGGGUCAGCAGCAGCAGCUACAGCAGCAGCCUUAUCCACAGUCUCAGUCUGGACCUCAGGGUCAGCAUUAUCCCCAGGCUCAGCAACAGCCUUAUCCACAGUCGGGGCCCCAGACACAGCCUCAUAGUUCACAAGGCUUACAAAGUCACACGUCUUCGAGUGGCCCCCAGAGCCAGACAGGUUCCUCCCAUCAGGCUAUGAGGCCUGACUCAUAUUCCCAGAGAGGUCCAAGAGCUGGUGGAGGUUCUGCAGGAGGCCCCACACAACCUGGUGGUCCGAGGAUCCCCCAUCCUGGCGCUAUACCCCUCCCUGGCUUGACAAAAGCACCUUCCCAACCCGAUUUGGGUCGUGGCUCUCCCAUGCACCAGUCAUUGGCACGGCACCAUGACCAGACCAGAAGCGCCGGCUCCUCUCCAGCUCAUAAGCCCCAGAGUCAGACCCAUCCUCCAGCCCAGGAUGGACUGACAAAGCUGUUUGGUUUUGGAGCUUCCUUGCUCAACCAGGCGAGUACUCUGAUCAAUGUAGACCCUUUGCCCACCUCUUCCACCCAUCCCAGUCCUGCACGGGGCAAGGUGGUAUUCAGUAAUGAGACCCCUGACAACAGGCAGCCACAACAAGGGGUCUCGGUUGCCAAACCAUUUGGCAUGGGGGGUUCUCAUGGUACGACUCCAAUAACUGGUCCUCAUGUGCCGGGCCAAAUGGGUGGCUCACAUGCACCAAACCAAAUGGUCGGCUCUCAGCCGCCGAACCAAAUGGGGGGCCCCCAUGCACCGAGCCAAUUGGGGGGUCCGCAUGCACUGAGCCAGGUGGGAAGUCCGCAUGCACUGAAGCAACAGCCUAAGCCUGUACCCCACCAACAAGGAAUGCCACAACAGCAGUCGCCCGCCCUUCAGCAAAAAGAUCCACAGCAACCUCAACACCGACAAAUGCCCUCACAUAUGCAGAAGGUGGAACCAAAGCAGGAGCCUGCGAUCGCUCCCAGCGCAGCUACGGAGCCAGUGAAGCCGAAAGUGACGUGUCCUCUGUGUAAAACAGAGCUGAACAUCGACAGCUCCGACCCACCCAACUACAACUCAUGUACGCAGUGCCAAACUCAAGUGUGCAACCUUUGCGGCUUCAACCCUACACCACAUCUGGUUGAGAAAAAAGAGUGGCUAUGUCUCAACUGCCAAACCCAGCGGCUAAUGUCCGGAGGAGGUCUGGAUGAGCCUCCUCUCUCUGUUCCUCACCCGUCCCCCAAACAUCAGCCCUCUGGGUCACUGCGCCAUCAGGCACCAGCCAGUCAACAAAGCCCUCUCCACAAAACCACCAAUCAACAGGGGUCCAAGCAAGCCCAGCCUCAGACACAGAAACCACAGCCGGGAACUGAAGGUAGUGAACAGUUUGUGCCUAAUGCUGCCAAACUGCCAACAGACACCAAGAACAUGAUACCAGCUACAUCUACUGGACCAACAGCAGAGACCCAGAAGAAGACGAAAACCACAGACGAAAAGCUGAAGAUGGAGCCUGAAAGCCAAACUGCCAAAGACAGCAAAACCCCUCUCAAGAAAGGAGAUCAAGUCACACCAAUCAAGGAAAUUAAGAAGUCAAGGCAUUACGACGAAACAAAAAACAACAGCACACAUGAUUUGUCCCGCAGCCCUCAGAGCCUCAGCGAUACUGGUUACUCCUCCGACGGCAUCUCCAGCUCCCACAGUGAAAUCACAGGACUAAUUCAAGAGGAGGAGAUGAAAUUGAGUGAGAGGGGCAUCAGUGGGCGGGGCUCCCCACCAAGCCCUUCAGAAAUCACUAAGCUGGAAAGCUCCAUGAGGCCUUUGCUGGAGAAAAGCCUUUCCGAAGACAAAGUGGACAGAAGGGGAAGGAAGCACAGGGAUAGAGACUUGGAUGACAGAGGGAAGCAGCGCCCACGCUCUUUGUCAAUCCCCCCAGAUGCAUAUGACUCGGAUGAGGAACUUGAAGACAUAAUGGAAGAAGAAGAACAGGGAGGAGAUUGGGAGAGUAAAUGGACAGAAGGGAAAGAGGAGAAAAAGGAAAAGAAAACGAAGGAAAAGGAAGUUCUUCCUACAGAGAUGACCGAUGAGGAGUUCAUGAGGAGACAGAUAAUGGAGAUGAGCGCCGAUGAGGAAAACGAUGAGGAAGAAGAGAUGGAGGAAGAUGAAGAUGAGGAAGAUGAAGGAUAUGGCUAUGAGCGAAAGAAAAGCCACCAUAAGCACAUCAUAUCUGAAACAGCAAAAGAGAAGCGCCGCCUGCAGCACCACUCUAGCAGUUUUGAGGAGGAAACAAAAAGCUCCACUGAUGUUUACAAAAGCUCAGUGGAAGAGGGUGAAGAAGAUCUGAUGGCAUCACAAGGUGGUCUGAGACGCUUUAAAACCAUUGAACUCAAUAACACCAACAGCUAUAGCAGAGACAUUGAGCUCAGUAACGAAAACGACUUGAGCCUUGAUCGUGAACCCGAACUGGAGAUGGAAAGUCUGACCGGCUCCCCUGAUGAGCGUUCUCGGGGUGACUACUCUUCCACUCUACCACCAACUUCCGCAUCCUCUUAUGGCUCAGGCCAGUCUCCUACAUCUAUCUCAUCAAUGGAAGAAGACAGUGACAGUAGCCCCAGCAGGAGACAAAGGUUGGAAGAAGCCAAGCAACAGAGGAAAGCAAGGCAUCGCUCCCAUGGCCCUCUCCUUCCUACCAUUGAAGACUCUUCAGAAGAAGAUGAACUGAGAGAGGAAGAGGAACUUCUGAGAGAACAGGAGAAGAUGAGAGAGGUAGAACAACAAAGAAUUAGAAGCACAGCACGGAAGACGAAGCGGGAUAAAGAGGAGCUGAGGGCUCAAAGACGUAGAGAAAGGUCCAAGACACCACCCAGUAAUCUUUCACCUAUCGAAGAUGCGUCUCCAACAGAGGAGCUAAGACAAGCUGCCGAAAUGGAAGAACUCCAUCGUUCCUCUGCCUCUGAAUACUCCCCUCAGAGUCUGGAUUCAGAAGCUGAGGGCUAUGAGUCAAAGCUUUACAAGUCAGGCAGUGAGUACAACCUUCCUACCUUUAUGUCCCUUUACUCACCAAUUGAGAAAUCAUCAACCACAACCACCAUAGCACCAUCAUCCACUUCCAAGCCAUUAAAGAGUGCUGAGGAGGUUUAUGAAGAGAUGAUGAGGAAAGCAGAGUUAUUUCAAAAGCAACAGAAACAACAGCAGCAGCAGUCUCCAGUAAGACACGGUCAGUACUAUGAGGAAGACAUUAAUGGACAAGGUUAUGAUGAUGAGUAUGACGAUGAACAAGAUCAAACUGGAUAUGACAAUGAUGCAAUCAAGACAGAAACUGAUAUUUAUGAGGAGAUCCGACAAACAUCUCAGAACAUCACAAAGAUGCAGCAGGCCACUGAUGAGCAAGUAGAGAUUGAGAACUCCUACUCAGACAAACAAUUUCUCGACACAGGGUCCGCCUUUACAAAACUACUGGAGCAAAGCAAUGCCCUUCUGACUCCAGGAACCAGCCCCACCCAGAUCUCUGCUCCUGUGUCUUUUGCUGAAACGGGAGGGCGCAUCCCUGAUGUUAGAGUAACUCAACACUUUGCUUCAAAGGACAGACACAAAGACAGAUUGAAAAACCAAGCGGGAGAAAAUGGAAUAACCCCAACCGUGGCUGCCACUACAAUUGCAGCUUAUGGAGUCUAUGCUAGAGAUGCUGUAACAAUUUCUCAAACAAGUACAAGCAACACUAUAACAUCCACACAAUCGUCUGUGUAUGGCAGACACACAAGUCCUGCCACAUCUUCAGCUACAGUCUCAAGUGUAUGUAGCAAGAUUGCAGAAAUUACGCAAGCAUAUAGUCAAAGAGAGGUCAUCACCAGAAGGGUAGGGGACACUCGGGGUGUCCCGGUUCGAGACAGCCCAACAUCUGCAAAUGAGCGAAUCAGUGAGCCACGCUCUCCUAAGUAUACAACUUAUUACAGGAGCACCAGCCCUCCACUUUCUCCAUCCCCACCACCACAAAGUCCCACCCGCUCCCCUUCCCGGAGGGCGACAGCUGAGUUCUCCACACAGACUUUCAAUUCAGCACUACGAAUGGACUCAGGAGGUUCUGGGCCUCCAUCUCCAGUGAUGGCUCAGGGAACCCAAACUUCACAUAGAUCGGUCUCCCCACGGCUCUACCGGCAGCAGUCGUCCCAGGAUGUGCCAUACUCUCCACCUGCAAGUCCAGGUCGUCCAAUGACGGUCAACACGGCUACAUCCCCCCUGUCUUCACCCACACGAUUUAGCCGUCAAUCUACAUUUGAUUGUUAUUCACCAUGUGGGAGCCCUCCAGAUACGCCCCCUUACCAACAUUCACCUACACGCAGCUUCUACAGAAUGCAAAGAAUAGAAAAGGUAAAUGUUGGAACAAGUAUGGUUACAACGGCCAGUACUUAUACAAGAGGUUCUAUUUCUAUGGAUAAUAUCUCCCUCUGCCGCAUAUCUACAGUCCCAGGCACAUCUAGGGUAGAGCAGAGCCAUAUGAUCCAAGGUGGAAGUGUUGUGGACCUCAGAACAGCCACCAAACCUGCUCCAAUCAUCAUGACUGAUCAAGGAAUGGAUCUCACCUCUCUAGCCACUGAAAGCAGAAAAUACCAUGGUGGAUCAGAGGGCAGCAGACAUUCAACAAUUGUACAGCCACUGAUUAUGAACCUGAAUGCCCAGGAGACCAUCACACCAACCACUGUGAGUGUAACUGUGGCAGCUUCCAUGUUUAUGACCCAGCCCAAACAACCAAUGAUCUAUGGUGAUCCCUAUGAAAAUAGAGUGGAUUUAGGUCAGGGCAUGGGUUCGGCUGUGUCUUUUUCCCAAAGCAAAACCCCUGUAUCACCUCCAAUGGACCCAUCAAUACCAAAAAUCGAUGCGAAACUUGAAGAUCUGAGUAUUCAACAGAAAGAACUACAAAAACAACAAGAGAAGCUGCAGAUGCAACAGGAGCUUCUUGAGCAGCAGUUGCAGCAGCAUCAUCAUAUGCAACAGCAACAGCAACAGGCAUCUGUUUUAGCUAGGUAUAACUUUUCAGGCCAGGUCUCACCCUUGCAGAAAAAGGAAUUGCUGGUCAGCCAAACUAGCACUGCCUCCGCUGUUGUGAGUGCUGUCUCGCCAGUCAUCAACCAUGAGAUGUAUGGAACUGGACCCAUUGAGCUGAAAGGAAAGCCCAGUCCUCCUGGCGUGAUUACUGGAGGGAAAACACCACAUAGUAUGGUCGUACAGAUAGAUGGUGGGCAAGACCAUGUCAGAGCAGUGACCCAGCUUAUAAACAUCGAAGAAGGACAGGAUGCUGCAGAUCUGACAGGGGGCCAGAUUAAACCUGACAACCAACUAGCUUGCUGUGAUGUUGUUUACAGACUUCCCUUUGGUGGAAGCUGUGUUGGCACUUCUGAGAAAGACGGCAUACGGCCUCCUUCCGCACCACCUCUUUCCUACGAUUCUGAUCAAGAAAGACAACCUGGGAGGUACCGUGAAUAUGCAUUGGAUGGACACAAGACCUAUACAUUGUCUUAUCCAGGCAGGCUUCAACCUUCAAUGUCUGAUACAAACCUGGCUGAGGCAGGGCUACAAUCCUACCAUUCUAAACCAGAACCCCAUCUUCAAGCCCAAGGAGAAUUUGCAAUGGAUCUAAAUGCUGUAAAACAUGGCUAUGGAGGGUAUAUUGGGAUGCAGUAUGGCUCAUACACAGAUUUGCGUCAUGGUGGAGAACUCUCUGCCCCAACAUUGCCUAUACGGAGAUACAAUUCCUUGUCUAACAUAAAUUCAGACUAUGGCUACUCUGCUCGUGACAUUGCGAAUUUCCAGGAAGCUAAUUUAGCUCAAUACAGCGCCACAACUGCCAGAGAGAUCAGCCGAAUGUGUGCUGCACUUAAUUCAAUGGAUCGAUAUGGAAGCAACCCAGAUCUGAUGCAGUUCGGGAGUCUAGGGAGAGGAACCAGCCCAGCAACCUCAAGACUAUCAGCUGGUCUUGGCUUGAGACAAAAUCUGCUUUUUGGAUUAGAUGGAAAGCCAUUAUCCCACAACCAAGCACUUACGAACCUCAUAAAUGCUAGACAGGCCAGUCUGAGAGCUAUGUACCCUGCAGCCAUUCGGUCCUCGGAUGGGAUGAUCUACUCCACCAUUCAGACACCCAUUGCCUCUACCCUACCUAUUACGACUCAGCCUGCUUCUGUUCUUCGACCACUACUGAGAGGGGUUUACAGGCCUUACCCAUCUGCCAACAUGACACCUGUGCCCCUCUCUAGUCUCACCAGAUUACCAAUAAAUCCCAGAAUGUCUUUGUCUGGACAAUCUACAAUCCGUUACCCUGGACCAGGUCUUCUCCAAACGACAUCAACCUCUGCCACUAUUGCUGAUACCAUAACAACUUUAGCGCCAGCGAGUGCCCCAGUAUCUGUUCCCAUGGAAGCUACCCCCUCUACACUCCAAGAUGAACCAGUUUACCUUGGUAAAGGUGCUGUAGUAAUCUCUUCAUCAGGAGAAGUUGCAUCAGUUGACCCACAGCAUCAACCGCUAAACAUGUCCCAAGCACACCUGUACAGUCAACAACAACAACAACAACAGACACAAGCAACAACUGCUCAGUGUUACACGUCAGUCGGCCUUCCAGAUUCUUCUAGCGGUUUAGCAGUAGCAGGGGGCCUACCUACCUUCCCCCCGCCUGGUGCUAUACACAAAGAGGGUGAAACUGAGGCAGAAAGGCUGCAUCGGCAGCAAGAGCAGCUUCUGCAGAUGGAGAGGGAGCGUGUAGAACUUGAAAAACUCCGGCAACUGCGCCUCCAGGAAGAGCUGGAACGAGAAAGGAUUGAGCUGAAGAUGCACAGAGAGAAGGAGCAUAUCCUGGUGCAGAGAGAAUUACAGGAGUUGCAGAACAUCAAGGAACAGGUUCUGCAACAGCAGCAACAAGAACGAGAGAAACAACUUGUUGUCCAGAGGGAACAGCUGGCCCAGCAGAAGUCCCAGCUCGACCAGAUCCAGUCCUUACAACAACAGCUCCAGCAGCAGCUUGUAGAACAGAAGCGACAGAAAACAGCCACUGCAGUCCAGAACAUGCAGAUGGAUGUGAAUGGACAGCCUUUACAUCCUUACACUGACCAUCAAAUUGGAUCCCGCUCCCUCCCCAACUCCUCCUCAGAAAUGUGUCUGAGGAGCCAUGAGGAGCAUGUUGAGAACCAGAGCAACAUGAGGAAACACAGCUCCAUGACUAGACUAAGCAGAGACAGCUUGGAUGGAGAAGGCAUGGUCUUCCAUGUAUCCCCUCGCAGGAAUGUGGACAGUUGUGUGCAGACGGAUGAUGAAGAUGGGGAGGAGAGGUACAUGAUGCGUCAUCGAACCAGGCGGCGUGGUCGCAGCGUGGACUGCUCCGUUCAGACAGAUGACGAUGAGGAAAAGGCUGAAACAGGGCAGCCGGUCCGACGAAGACGCUCUCGUUACUCUAGACAUUCCGAAUCCAGUGCCACUGGCAGCGGAACUGCCACAGGUACAGCUGCCACUGGCACCAAAACCAGCACCUCUAAGAUGGCAUCCUCCAGUACAGCCGUCCAAACAAUCAGGGAAAUGUCCUGCCAAACUGAACUGGAGCACCUCGGAAGAAUUUCCCCUGCAAUCCAUGUGACAUUACCAGACCCAAAUAAAGUAGAGAUUGUGCACUACAUCUCAGGACCCGAACGGACAAAAACGGGACAGUCGCUAGCAUGCCAGACUGACCCAGAAGCCCAGUCACAAGGUGUUGUCGCUCCACAGCUCAGCGUACCAACCACAGUGAGCCCGUAUUCUUCCUCCACCAGCAGCGGAAUCCACCAAUCUGGUUCGACUGACCUUUCCACACAGCAGCGCCAGCAGCAGCAUAUCACAGCAAAUGCAGCUAAGUUUGAGCACCGCCGUCCUGACCCACUCGACAUGAACUACCAGCCCCACAACCAUCUGCACAAUGAGUCCAUCUCCAGUAUCAUCCGGCACCAGCAGACAGUCCCGAAAUCCCCACAGGUCCUCUACUCACCUGUCUCCCCGGUGUCCCCUCAUCGCCUGUUGGAGAAUUCACUAUCAAGUGAGAGGCUGAACAAAGCCCAUGUCACACCUCAGCAGAAGUCAUACACUGCAGAGUCCCCCCAACGACAUCCCUCCAUGCCCAGACCAAUCAAGAGCACUCAAAGGUCCAUGUCAGACCCUAAAUCACUUAGUCCUACUACUGAUGAGCACACCAAGGCUAGGCUGUCCCUGUAUCAACAACAAGCACUCCAGAACCAGCUGGCAGCCCUUCAUCAGAGUUCGCUGCUCCGUAAAGUCAAGAGAACCCUGCCCAGCCCUCCUCCCGAGGAGACAACUACAUCAGUUCAUCUACCCCUGAUGACACCUGCCCUCCAACAGGUCUACUUGCCAGCCGUGCCCAGCCUCAAGCCCAGCUCCAGGUCUGGUCUAGCCGCCAAAGCCAGUCUUCUCAAAGACCUCACCCAUGAGCUGAAGGCAGUGGAGCAAGAAUCAACCAAGCUGAGAAAGCAGCAAGCUGAACUGGAGGAGGAGGAGAAGGAGAUUGAUGCUAAACUGAGAUACCUUGAGCUAGGGAUCCACCAAAGGAAAGAGACGCUGGUCAAGGAGAGAGAGAGGAGGGAUAUUGCUUAUCUGAGGUGUAUGGGUGAUGCUCGGGACUAUAUGUCUGAUAGCGAGUUAAACAACCUACGAUUGGCAGCUGCAGCUGCAUCACAUGAGGCCAAUGGACUAUUGACAACAAGACCAAGUACUGCUCCUCUCAGCCAGUUCAGCAAUGAUCUGAACACAGCAGCCCAGUACACGCCUACAUCAUCAUUCCACUCUCAGUACUCACAGAGCCAACCAGCUGCACCAACUCAAUCAAGUUUACCCUACCAGUCAUCAACAUUUAACCAAGCUCCUUAUCCAACAGUGUCUCAAUCCCAGGCACUACCACAGCCGACUCCCCUCCACAGUCAUGGUCACCCAUCGGGACCAUCCUACCAAUCUCAAACCUCAUACUCUUCUCACACCUACCCCCAAACUCAACCACCAUAUCCCCAAACAGACAUAGGGUUGCCAAGUGCACCGCAACCUCAGCCCCAACCAGGGCACACAGGUUUUGGGCCUGCACCACCUGGUCAGCCCCCAUACCCCACCCACAGCUCACCGUAUCCGAGUGCUGUGUCCUCUUACCCCAGCCAGAGUACCCCUUACCCUGGGCAACCCCAAACAGAUAUUUUGACAGUACAUCAAGGAAGGCCAAGGCAGACGUCGCUGGCUGAUCUGGAGCAUAAGCUGCCGACCAAUUACGAGAUAAUCAGCAACCCUACAGUUGUGGUUACCACCACGGCACAAGACGGCGCCUAUUCCAGUUCAACUGCCUCAUUUGGUCAAUACACUGGAACGACAACCAUGGCCAACUAUGGACCCUAUGGCUCAGCAACGGUGUCCAGUUGUUAUGGUGGGUUCUCUACCAUUCCACCAAGUACUUAUGGACAGUAUACAUCACCUACAGUUAAUUCAUAUGGCCAGUACACCACAACCACCGCUAAUGCAUAUGGCUACACAGCAACAACAGCCAGCUCAUAUGGACAGUACACGUCGACAGUUUCCAAUGCCUAUGGGCAUGCUGUGGAUAGUCCCUCCACCUACAGUACAGCAGAUGGCAUGUAUGGGGCACCUGGUUUAGAACAAAAUAUCCCAAGAAACUACAUGAUGAUAGAUGAUGUAAGUGAGCUGACGGCAAAAAAUGGGCUGGGCACGACAACAGGGGAAAUGAUGCAUCACAGCGGCACGGGGCGUUACCCUGGUGACACCCAUGGCCACAGCAGCACCAUUGGCAGCACGGCGCGUGGGGGAACUGGCAGCUCCAUAUACGGCAGGGCACCCGAGGAGGAAGCAGCGAUGCAGGAAGAAUUGUACGACCACCAUGGCAGGGGUAAGAGCAGCUACAGACACGGACCUCUAGGGGGCAGCAGCAGCGUGAGCAAUAGCAUGGGUGGGGGAUCCUCCUAUUACUAUGACUAUGACUACAAACAUGGCAGCUACCGAUCCGGGGUGCCGAAAUCAUCGUCCCCCAGAAGCCUUUUGGCUCCUGCUGUCAUGUCCACCAAACGCAGCAAGCACAGAAAACUGGGCAGUAUGGAGCAGAAAAUCUCCAAAUUCUCCCCCAUUGAGGAGGCUCUGGAUGUAGAGGCAGACCUGGCCUCCUAUUCUUCAGCAGCUGGUGGAGGUUACCCCUCCUCCCACAUCCGAGGACGUCAGCUGAUAGAGGACUACGGCUUCAAGAGGAGUACUUACGACGCCGGCAGUGGCAUCACCCAUGGUAGUCGGUACUUUGGCUCAAUGGGAGAGGAGGAUGAUCGGAUUUACUACACUUCCACUGGCCGCUCACGUUCCACCGGCUAUGGCAUGGACAAGAUCACAGCCAGAGACUACUCUGGGUACCGCAGCAGAUCCUAUGAGAGGGAUGACCGCGCCUACCGAUCUGGUUUUAGCCGGGGACGCCAUCCCACUAGACAGUACUCUGAAGAGGAGAGCCCACUCAGUCCCAAGGGGAGAUUCAUGGGCUCCGAGCGAUCAUCAAGCUUAGGUCCUGACCCAUAUGACAGUCGCAGCAGUAGAUACCAUUACUAUUAUGGCCAAUAUGGUUCCAGUCACUCUCUGCCAGAUGUGCAAGACCACAUACGGGACCUACCCCGGACCCAUGUCUACAAGUCGGAUGAUACAUACAUAAUAGACGAUUAUCACUGUGCUGUGUCAGACAGUGAAGCCUACCAUCUGGGCCAGGAAGAGACAGACUGGUUUGAGAAGCCACGUUCCAGUUCUCGGCACUAUGGCAGCAGCCACUCAUCUGGAAGGAGUCGCCACGGUGUCAAACACACCUAUCAUGAUUACGAUGAGCCUCCUGAGGAGGACCUGUGGCCUCAGGAUGAAUAUGGCCAUGGAGGACGACACUCGUCAUCCACCCGCGACCAUCGGCAUCAUGGCAGCUCAAGUCGGCACUCAUCCUCAUCACGUCAUUCAGAUGAACCAAGGUCCUCUAGGUCAUCUAAAGGACACCCGAAAGACCCGUCCAUACGGCAUGACCCUUCAGGGCGGUCUUCAUCAUCAGGAAGACGUGGCGAUUCAAGGUCUGGAGCCUACCACUCGUCUGACUACUUGCGAGAUCCAUCUAGCCACCAUCAUAGCCAGAGAUCCUCUAGACAAGGGGAUCCACAUCGCUCCUCGCGCAGCAAGUCUCAGCAACAAGUCGACAUGCAGGGCCAACCACCAGGUACCUCCAGGUCUGGCUCUUCUUCAAGGGGACAGUGUCCUGCCGGUGGUCCUACAGGAUCCGGGCGACAGGUUGGUCAAGUUUCCCAGAACGACGGUGCCCCAGGACAGAGGAUGCAGCUCCAACAACAAGCCCAGACUUCGACCGCAAGGAUGGGGCAGCAAGGGCCCCUAACCACCACCAGUGCCCAGCAACAGCCCCUAACCCAGGGACAAAGCAUGGGGGUGGGGCAGGGCCAGGCCAAACCAGGGCAAAUGGGAGCAACGGGUGGACCUAUGGGUCAGACCAGGCAAACGGGUUCCACGGGAACGGGAACAUCACCUGCCCCCAUGGCCAAGAUUGAGACACCUCCAGCGACAGCCAUCGGCGCAAAAGCAGCGCCUGUCAUGGCCUCAAAAGCAGCUCAACCGCCACUGACUGGCAUAGGCUCCAAAGCUGCUCCGAGGCCGGGCGGCAUAGGCAGUGCAGCACCAGGUCAGCCAGGCAUGGAGGGAGACAGCAUGUUGUCCAAGAUCUUGCCGGGAGGAGCUGCCGAGCAAGCUGGGAAACUGGGAGAAGCUAUAUCCGGUUUUGGCAAAAAGUUCACCUCUUUCUUCUAAAGUGCUAUGUUUAAGGACUAUGUAAAAACACAAAGCCAUGAGCCCUUGUACCAGACAAACCUGCCACGUUCCUCUUGAUUUUCAUUCCCUAAAAGAGAGAAAGAGGAGGAGAGCGGGCGAAGUGGAGAAUCAAGCAUUUAAAUCAUUCCAGGGGUCUAGUCUUCGCUUCAAAAGUCCACCUUGACUUCAAACCGCGUUGGAGACAAAACCGCCCACUGGGGGCCCAACAUCAAGAACAAUGCUGAAGAAGCAGUCGAGUACAAUCAAUAAGGAUCAUGUACCGCCAGUCAAUCAUGUGGAUCUAACUUAGCAGCAAGCAUCACUUGCAGAACAUGAACGGCGCCAUGUAUCCAGUCGAAUGCAAACUCAUCCAAGAAAGCAGCUUUGCUCUUCUUCCACUUACUCUCUUCUGAAGAAUUAUGAAGCGAGAGGGACGUAGAAUAAUUGCAGUGCAGGUUUUUCUGGUACCGACCACCUCAUUCUUUCUUCACCUGUCCAAUUCAAGGGAACACAUCACAUGGAAUGACAACACCGACGUGGUGCGUGCGUGCGUGCGUGCGUCUCUUUUCCACUAUUUGUCCUCUUUCUAUCUACAUUCCAGAUUACGACUUCUCUUCCACACUGUGUCCUAUCCCGUUUUCUAAUUCCCACCCCAAAGCUCCUCAAUUUGUCUUGAAAGAAUUAUAUGGUGGAGGGGGAGAAUUUGGAAUGCAUGGAACUUUCUAGACCUUUACACUGUUCGUCACCACUAAGCAGAGGCCAUAAAGACACUGGCAAAUGGAUUGGAGCGGAGACGGAAUAGAAAUGGAUGUGUGUCUAAAAGAAAGGGGGAAAAAAGUAUUCAGAGGCAAGCCAUUACGAAGCCAUUUUUUGUGGUGAAUUGUUUUCUCAGCUGUUCACUGUUUCCCACAUUGUGAAUUUUUACUUUGUUCUGUUGCCAGCACAGCCUUAUUUAUUUGUUUUAUUUUAAAAUUGACUAUUUUUUUAUGACAUCCAUGAACACACCAUGUAUUUCUUCAAGUAUAUGCUGACUGUGAGAUUCAUUUUGAUGUUCUUAUCACUUUUUUUUUAAUUGUGUCACUUUUGUUGCCAAGCCCCCUCUCUCUUUUUUUGAUUUAAAUGUGUUGUUAACACUCACAGAGUUAUGAACAACAACAAAGCAAUAGAGUGAAAAGAGACGGUCAAUAGCACAAUGAUGUGUCAUUCGAAAAAGUAGAAAUGUGUUGCCUCUGUCUGUCUAAUUUACUGGUGAGUGACGCUCACCAAUCAGCAUAUGAGGAAACGUAAACCCACCCGCUCCCCGAUCCCUCAACCUCUUCAGUGUUGUACUAAAGCUGUGGCUCACUAAUACAGCAAAACAACCUGCAAACGAUCACGGUGGGACAUCUCUAGCCACGAGUCACUGAUGCAGCCGAGAGCGCUGCAGCAGUGAAGAAGCAGACCCCGGCCUUUGCAUCCUAACCUGGAUUUUGAGGUCACUUUGGGACAUUACCCCCACAUGCGUCCUUUGCCCAAGCCCCAGACCUCACCUGUCAUCAGUAUGUAUCAGCAUGUGUCUUCACUCGUUGAAUGUGCGUGGCGCACAUUAAAGCACACUCCAAAAUGGUGUCAAAAGAGGAAAAAAAGGAACCAAAUAACCCCUUUUUUUUUUUUUUCUUCUCUCACCCUGACCUUUAACCUUUCUCAGUUGUCAUGGAAACUACUCAGGUCAGUGUUCUCCCUCCUGCUGAUGACGCUCCUGCAGUGCAUUGUGGGUUCUGGGCUUUGCCUGCGCGCCACACGACAGCGACAACAAACGUACUGUCCUGGCCGAACGAAACCCACAUUUGUGUUGUAUAUUGUCCGUGAGAACGCUCAGCGGGGACCUUCGCAUGCUACCCGGCGUUGACAGAAAAAAAAAAGGAAAAGAAAGAAAAACCUCAAAGUCACCUCUAUAAAACGUUUGUGUGUGUUGUGCGUAUGGGUGUGGCAGUUCUGUUCCUAUCCAUCUGCCAAUGAGGAACGUAAAACAGUUCAAUCAAGCGCUACAGGUACGGUAUGGGGCUAAAAGGCAACCGCUCAUCUCCACUCGUUCUAUGCAAUGAAUCCCAUUUGGUAACAGUGCAAAUAUGAGCAAGAAAAGUGGGCAAAAAGUCACCGCGAUAGCCGAACGCUACGGUUUUGACAUUCAUUAAAUAAUAGCAUCGAUGUAAGUACAAGAUGUUUCUUUUAGUUAGUGUUUAGCUGGGAAAUGGCCGAUUUGUGGCACAUAAGGUAUCGGUUAGCCCUCAUUAUCUUCAGCGGGAGGGGAUCAAUUUGACCCCAUAAAAUGUUUAACAUCUCUAAAUGACAGAUCGACUUUUCAAAUUGAAUUACUUUCCUAAUUUUAAUAAGGACAACUGAGUAAAAUUAACGCCACUACUUCAUAUACAUGAUGAUCUGUACACCUCGCGUUUAAAGUCGAUACAUUUUUAGCAAUUUAAUUCAGAGUCACUUAUUAUUGAGAUUUUUUGAAUACUUUUCAGAAGACCAAUUCUGACCUAAUCUCCAUGUCUUUAUUUCUUAUGUAAUGUUCUAAUUUUUUUUAUAUAAUGGUGAAUUUGGGGAUUUUGUUAGCCGCUCCAAAUUCUAAAAAAUGAAAUCAUUAUUUCGUCCACUGCGUAGUGAAUCCAUAUAAUACAGUUUAUGAGUUUCACUUCUGAAUUGAACCACUGAAAUUCAGUAGUAAUAAAAGUAGUAAUAGGUUUUCCAUGAUACUCGUAUUUCUUGAGAUGCACCUGUAAGAGCUAUUUAGACUCGGGUCAAAUAAUUCAGUUUGAAUUAUUUCUGGCAGGUCAAAUUGCUGUGGUCAAAUUGACCCGAAGUAAACAAAAGUUAGUAAAUUUGAAAGUAAAAAAAGACGAAAAAGGCAAAUGUGAUAACAUAAUGCAGGCAUUAGCAGUCCAUCCGAGACGUCAGUCAUUAGUAGUGAUGUUGCUUCAAGUCUGGGUUAACUUGGCGAAGAGAGAUUGUGCAAUUAUGUGGAAUGAACCAUUCCGACAUGCUUUGUAUAUGUUCUUUUCGAAUAAGAAUUUUCAAACUAAAACAAUAUUAAAUAGAAUACCAACUUCAAAAUGGGUCAAUUUGACCUGUACCAUCACAGGAGGGUUCAAUGUAUCAUGACAAGAACGGCGACGGGGGACAACACAAUUGCUAUUUUUGUUGAGAGUACAAAUCUGUUAACUCAAAGAAGUCUAUUUUUUUGUGAAAUAUGAAUGAGAUUAUUUAAAAAAUUAUUUUAUGAUAAGCGAAUGGGAUGUUGUACUGUUCGGGAUUUCAGAAAGGAGGACACUGAAUGUGUUUUAACAUAUAAAAAAAAAAAGGAGAUAGAGUGGAAAGUAAUGUUUCAUAAACAGCUGAAUGAAGACAAAACUUUAAAUAUUCAGAUUGGAAUAUGAGAAUCUCAGUUAUAUGUAACUGACUUUAGUUUUUCAUAUCAAAAGUCAUAAUAAUAAACUAUAUUCUCAACAUUGUAAAACAGAUCGGAUCUUCACGUGGCUUCUAAUGUCAAUAUUUCCUAAUUUUGCAACUGUUCUGAGUUCACGUUUGCUUGUCUCAAUCAGCCAAUCAAGGUGACUUAAAUAUGCAUUGCAGCAAGGGCUUUAAUUCUGCAUGAUAAUACUAGUCAUUGAAGAAAGCCAUUGAAGCAGUUGUGCUGUCUGUCUGCACUCUGUAGGUGUCUUGUCUAUUUCUAGGAAAAUAAUAGACUUCACUUGAGAGUGAAAAUCUUCAGUCCACUGCAUGUUUGAAGCACAAAUGUAGACAACAAUACACAUAUAUUGCAGUCGAUAAACAUUUUGACAUUAAAUUUGCUUUGUAUUUAAAAAAAAAAAAAAGGAUCGAAAAAGCCCCACGACUGGUAAACUCUGUUUUAAGUGCAAAAUGCAAAAAUAGAGCAGGAUACGUUUUGGAGUGUUAUGACACUUUGAGGCCGUGAGCGGACACUAGCACCCUUUUUUUCUUUUGUAAGUUUAUCACACGAUAGCCUCGGCAAUACGUUUUUCUAAGAAUCCAUUUUAAGACUCUUUACAUUAUUUAAAUUCAUUUGAUCUUCAAUUGUUUUGUUGUUCCGCAUUUAAUCAUUUUACCCUUAAGGUUGCAGACAUGAAAAAGUACAGAUGUUGUAAAUGUUGCUCAGAGAUUUUUUUCCCCCCAGCCUAUGAGUGGUCCACACGGUUUUACAGUAGUACAUAGAGCAGCAUGACAAGAGCAAGAUCUUAAAAUAUAUUGUGUAUUAUAAAUAAAGAUAUUCAUGAAGAGAUGUUUUAGCUGAGCAGGAGUAGAAAGGAGACAAACUAAGACAAGCUAUAAAAUCAUAUGGGAGUGUGUUUGUUUGUUGGUGUGUUUGUCCAUAUAAAGAAUCCUAAGAUGACGUGCAUGAAUUGACACCUGCCCCAGAAAUCCUUAAACAAAGCCCACCCAAACCUCUUUCCUUGAGUUUUUGAGCCUCGUUGACAUUCCACCUUACGAGUUGCCAUAUUUUUUAGUUUGAUCUUAGUGUAAAUAGCCGAUAAAGCCACUUUCCACAAAAAUGGCAGGGUUUUUUUUUUUUCAACAUGUAAAUGUCAGCAAUGAUAACACAAAGAAGCACGAGUGGGGGGCCUUUUGCACGGCACACGGCAUCACAAGCUGGAGCGUAUGCAAGCCUCAGCCUCCAUAGAGCCAAACGUGUACUUUGUGUAUAAAAAGAACUUAAAGAGAGCUUAAGGUUAAAUAACAAAAGGACAAACAUUGGCAUUGUGUGUGUGGCUGGCUCGUGCCAACUGUUUUAAUAUCAUUUCCAAAAAAAAAAAACUUGGAAUCUGAUAUGGAAAAAAAAAUACUGGUCUGUGUGGAGUUUCUAUAAAUGUUGUGUUUGUAAAAUGAGAUGCCAUUAAAAACAAAAGGUGGGUACUUUAUCUGGCUUCCAUGUAAAUUACGGGGUGGGCAGAUGACAUUCGGAGGGCCUGAAAUGGACAAUAAGUGUAAAAAUCAUAAUUAUGUAAAAAAAAAAAAAAAAAAAAUGAAAAUGAAAAAAAAAACAGAUGAGGCUGGAGAUGAAAAAAAGAGCCUAAUCAUAACAACGUUCACUGUUGUAAGUGCAAUGAGCUAAACUUCCUGUUUCCCCCCCGCCCCCCAUUGUAAAACCUUGUGUAUGUUUCCGUGUGUUCCUCCUGUAAAUGGGUGUAGUAGACCUGGUGCAUCAUGCCAUGUAAUGUGAUGAAUGACAAAUUAUGACCUUAAAAUACAUUUCAAUCAGGAAAAAUAAACUACAAAUGCAUAUGAAACAGCUGUGGAUAUUUUAUUUUUGCAUACAUUGUAAUUGAAGACUGUAAGAAUAAGGCACAAUGGUGGUACAGCUUCGCACAACACUGCAACGUACAGUAUAUUAUUAUUUUAAUUAUUGUCUUUUAUGGUUUAUGUAGAGCACAUUCUUUUACAGCUGCAGUUGUUAAAGUGCUCUUUUCAAAUCACGAUACGUCUGCAUUAGCACCUCCAAUUCCAAGGGGGGGGGGGGGGGGGGGGG